AGGCCGCGCACCCUGGUACCUUGAGGCGGGAGGCUUCCUCCUCGGCACCGGUGACGGUGUGCUCCCGGUGCUGCUGCACGAUGCACAGGCCGCAGAUGCAGGCGCCGUCGCUGCGGCAGAAGAACUCGAGCAGCUUGCCGUGGGCCGGGCACCGGCGGCGGCUCAGGCCCGGUACGGGCUCGGUGAGCUGGUGCCCUCGGUACUGCUGCUCGUCCUGGUAGUGGGGCCGGAGGUGGGCCUCACACAGGGUGGCCAGGCAGGCCCAGCACGACCUCACCGCCUUGGUGUCCCCGCAGCGGUCACAGGGGACACGGGGGGCCGGGGCCUGGCGGUUAAACUCGUCCACGAUGCCGCACAGGACGAUGUUUUUCCGGAGGGGAGGCCUGGGCACGAAGGAGGCCCGGCACUCGGGGCAGGCGCUGGCCGGGCUCUGCUGCCAGUUCUUGUCGAUGCAGCGCAGGCAGAAGGUGUGCCCGCACGGCAGGUUCACCGGCUCGGUGAAUACCUCCAGGCAAAUGGAGCAGGAGAGCUGCUGCUCCAGGGACAGCAGGUCGGCCGCGGCCAUCACCGCACACCUACAGUGGGCUGAAUGGCCUUCCCCCCCACUGCCCCAGAAACAACAGAGGCACAGACCCGAUGUUUUCCCACUCCCUCCCCAGGUUAAAGGCGACAGCUACAAUCUACAGAGAAGACCAAAUUCAUCUCAAAAUGCAACCCCCACACGGGCAGAAACAGCAGUGCCUGCUAUUGUGAUACAUGUGGAUACCAGGAGCUCAGUAAAUGUCUAUUAAAGUCUUCAGGACUAUGUUACCCGGGUCUGGAUGUUAUGGCCUGGGAGCUAUCAUUCACAGAAGCAUAAUGGGAGAGAGGCAGAGCUUCCCGAUCACAGGUUGGAGUAGCCAAUUCAUGGAAAUUAAUUCAGUAAGAGGUGGUCUGAAAUUUUCCAGCCAAUCCUACAGUGACAGAGCCUUGGCUGGGCCAGCUGCCUACAGGCCUCCCUGUAGCAGAUAUGGGAGCCAGUGUGUCAGAUGAGCGCGGAUCCCACUGGCCUGCUUCAGUGACUUUUGUUCACUAUCGUCCAGAAAACCAAGCACCUCUCUCUGUGCAAUUUGAACAGCCUCCAUGAGGUCCUUGAACUGCUUUUCAACAUUGGAUUUCACCUCUGAUACCGAGUUCUAGAAUAAGACAAUGUACUCAUACACACAAAAUUAUUGAAAUAAUAUCAAAAACUCUUAACGUUUCCCAGUUCAAACUGGAGCAAGUUCUAAGGGAAACAUGGCCUGAAAACCACACAAUACCCAGAGUAAGUGAACAUCCACUGAAUUAAUGAAAAUAUGCCUCAAUGUAAUUUUGGAGCAAAUGCACAGCACUCUAUCCCAAAUACUGCACCAAAUAAUUUAUAAACAGCGGAAAUCUGAAAAAUUGGAAAUGCUGCGAACCCUCAAUGAAGACCUGAAACUUUUUGGAUUUGUCUGGCCAAAGUGUGAAUACAGGUGACAGCUGGGGGCCAAUUAAACUUGACCUGCAUAAAAGUCUGGAUUCACCAAGCAAGUUUGGUUCUAAUUGUAAGUUAGCAUCAUUUGAAGUUGUUUAUAAGUGCUAAAGCAUACUGUGCAAAUUAAGUACGCAUUGGUGGGAUAGAUGCAACUUUCAUGGAGCAGUGCAAGUGUCCUCCUUUCACUCAUUUCCACUAAAGGAAUGAAGUGCUCUAACUGGGAUACUGCAGUAUGUUGCAGGGUACCUCAACAAUGAAGGGUGACAUCCUGGUGCUGGAGGUCCAGAGCAGGACAAUUUGUCCUGUAUCAGCAGGGAAUAUAGUCACAGCCCCGUAAUUUGAAAUCUCAAGACCAUCUAAUAAGAUGACAUCUACACUGAUCUGCAUGAAUAUUUAUAAGCUUUACAAAACGUAAUGAUUCACAAGGCUUGGCAAAAGAGGAGAUCCCUCUGGGACCUUUCAGGCUCCAAUUCCAUGUAAUUUGAUAUCACUAUGACAAACGUACUUUCUGUAGAAUUGCGCAAAAAUCCCCAUCAUUUAAAAUACCUGUCCAAAAGCCUGGACUUUUCAAAAACAAGCGCAUCUUUUAAAAAAAAGCAGUUGGGCUGAGGGCUCUGGGAAAAAUACAGGCACAGAGAUAGGAGAUAGAAAGGACUGCAGAUACUAGAGUCAGAGUCAAUACCAUUUGGAGCUGGAGGAAAACAGCAGGCCAGUCAGCAACAGACAGGCAGGAAAGUCAACAUUUUAGGUUUACACCCGUCAUCAAAACUGCUGCUUUGGAACCAUUAUUCAGCCCAAAAAUCCUAUUCACAGAUUCACUCUAAAAAGAACAAUCGGCUAGGCCUAAACCGCACCCAUCCCAGACGGAAUAGGGGCAUUGAAUAUACUAGACAUUCAGAUUUGACCAAUAUUCAUGCACAGAGCUACUAGACAUUCUACAUAACCAAGAUAUAUUUUCACCUGCUCUUAACUAACAGGAAGUCACUCGCCUCAGAAAGGAAUAGCAGUAACAUAAGGGCAAGCAUAGAUUUGGUGCAAAGACAAGGGACAAGAGACAAGAGACAAGAAGCCCCGACCUCACCUGAGCGAGAGCUAUCUCCCCAAGAGAUACCUGUACAGCUACUUUGGAAAAGGGAUCCAAGACGAUGAUUUACCCCGGGAGCUAUCCCCAGCUACCACCAGGAGAAGGAUCCGAAAGAGUUACUGCCCUGAGAGCGAUCCUCACAGCCAUCUCCAGAAGAGAAGGUGCAGAAGGUUCCCAAAAGGAAAUGUUUGCCUCUUGUUAGAGAUAAUGGGAACUGCAGAUGCUGGAGAUUCCAAGAUAAUAAAAUGUGAGGCUGGAUGAACACAGCAGGCCAAGCAGCAUCUCAGGAGCACAAAAGCUGACGUUUCGG
Long non-coding RNA from Stegostoma tigrinum, 2889 nucleotides. RefSeq lists it as uncharacterized. The transcript has 4 exons. Lineage: Eukaryota; Metazoa; Chordata; Chondrichthyes; Orectolobiformes; Stegostomatidae. The record is from RefSeq and is a predicted model, not a curated record.